GUGGCUCAAUGGUAGAGCAUCUGAUUUGCAUGCAGAAGGUCCUGGGUUCAAUCCCAAGUAUCCA
This 64-nucleotide transfer RNA is filed under the name Sphaerodactylus townsendi. RNAcentral describes it as "tRNA-Ala". The stretch from base 2 to 58 matches the Rfam family "tRNA", at positions 8 to 63 of the family's 71-position model. Rfam says of the family: Transfer RNA (tRNA) molecules are approximately 80 nucleotides in length. Their secondary structure includes four short double-helical elements and three loops (D, anti-codon, and T loops). The record is from RNAcentral. Lineage: Eukaryota; Metazoa; Chordata; Lepidosauria; Squamata; Sphaerodactylidae.